RNAcentral lists this long non-coding RNA (15452 nucleotides) under Citrus maxima (pomelo). Its description in RNAcentral is "long non-coding RNA (CMAX_LNC001041)". The record is from RNAcentral. Lineage: Eukaryota; Viridiplantae; Streptophyta; Magnoliopsida; Sapindales; Rutaceae.
CUGUGCUCAUCCCAUAAGACACGGUAGUAAGUGGGCUUGCUUGUUCCAAGGCUUCCGUAGUGGCUACAAAGGUAAAAAUCAAACUCAAAGGGGUGCACAAUUAUUGUGUCCACAACUGUUCCCGGUGGCACAUUGCCACUGGAGGUUCCAUCCAUCCUACCCUUAGGAAAUAGACGAGUCUGAUGUCGUUUCUGGGCCACAAUAAGUGUGAUAGUUGGUUGGUAAUCCAUUGAUCUGAAUGCCAUCUUUAGUGGUACCAACUCUUCACUGAGAACCAUAUCGAACUGGCCCUCGCUUACUCCAUCUCGAAACACUACAAUCUUUUGUGGCCUAACUUUAUUCAACUGAACAUAAUAUUUAAAAAUCUCCAAGCACAUGUCAGCAAAAUUCAGAAUUUUCUCUGUCCUAUGACGCUGGGGGCGCACCCUCGCCACAUAUCUGUUCGCAGCAGGCCAAUUUACAGUGGCAACAACAGCUGCUAUAGAUGGGCUAGUUUUAUCUUUUGCACGAGGAUGAUUAACAUCUGCACCUAAAAACAUAACAUGGUCUUCACCGUUGAAGUAAGGUAGCCUGUCAAUGAGCUCUGCAUUGCUGCCUCCAAGCUUUGCAUUGAUCUUGAGUGCAAGAUUGGCAAGAUAUUGAUCUUGACCUUUACCUUUGUUGGCAUUCGUGGACAAACAACACUGAGUCACCACACCAACUUUAGUAUCAGAAAUCCACUUGAGAUACUUGUAACCGUCAUCCUUCCGAGACAUUGCACAAAUAAGAAUCUGCAGAUGACCUUUGCCAAUUUUAUAAGCCCUUGAAGUAAUCCCUUCAAGGAGUUCAUGAAGCCCUCCAACAUUAGAGAAUAGAUGCAUUGAAGCAGAUUGACAUAAGACAGGCCCCUCCAUGCUCAUGCCUAGAGUCUUGCACCGAGCGAUAAUUUUAUCAAUAAAUUGGUCUUGAUUCAGUCUAUCAUAUCGUUCAGAAGCGCUGAAGUCAACUACAGCCCAUCGAUCGAUUCGUGUUCCUUCCACAACAGCUCUUCCUCCAACAAGAUUCCAGUGACAUUUCUCAUUAUCAACGGUUAUCCUUGACGCCUUUCCACCAAGAGCACCUAGCUUCAAUUCCGGUGGGCCAAGGACUCGUCCUACCACAUUGGUCAUGUUUGUAUUAACAUCAAUACCAAAGUUACGAGUGAUCUCCCCUCUGGCAAAGAAAUUGUGAAAAUUAGGAUUAAGCCAAAUUACAGUGGCAUACUAUUUACUCCAUCAGUCAGCAUAUAUACAUUUGACUUUAGCAUAAAAUGUAUAGGUUUACAAAAUUCAAUGUCAACAAUAAUGUGAUCAACCAUGAAUGAUGCAGAUUGUCUAGAAAAGCUAAGCAGAAAAAAGUACAGUAUUUUCACGCAGAAAAACUUCAGACUAAAAUACUUAUGAAUCAAUCAGCUUUAAAAUGAGAUCAUUAUGAACUCAAAAAGAAGGAUAUAAGGGAAGAGAACUAUUUUUCACAACAAUUGUUUCCCUAAUAUUUUAAAAAAAUAAAAAAAUUAAAGACACUAAUCUAUAACCCAAUGAUUAAACCAUCCAAAAUCAGUUUAUGCAAGAAUUGAACUUGUACAGAAAUUUCUGAAUUCUCAUAUAUAGAAAACAAAAAGUUGCAGUUACAUACCCGCAUGGUCCAAUUCUUGACCGUACCAUUUGAGAUAUCAUGCUCUGUCUAUCCCCUGGCUUAGGCAGUGACAUAUUCUUCAAAAAUAAUCCAGGAUCUCUAUCCAGAUACUCUUUUGGAUAUAUCUGCCCUUCAACUAAGACACAGAACUCCAUAGGCACAUAGUUUUUUUUAUUAUUUCUUCCUAAAUCUAAGCAAGGAAUAUCUUUGUACAUAAUAUCCUUGCCAUACUUUUCCCUAAAAUAAUCAACAAGUCUGACUUCUCUUGGUGGAUCCCUGCCCUCUGGGUCCGCAAGAGUGAAUGAAAGACACCGUGUGGUCUCCCUAGUCAACCCAGCAAUACUGUACUUUUGUUUGGUCUGACGGUGAAUCACUAUAACUUUCAAGCCUUCCAAUGCAUCCUCAACUUCCCUCCAAUCUCUAAAAUGAUUCACAUCAAAAUUAAUGUGCUCCGCCAAAAAAUCUAUAACCGGCAAACGCUUACGAAAUGCCAAAACAGAGUAGUCCAAACACGACACCAAACCCUGGGAGGUGGGCUUCAGGCCAUGUUCAAACCCUCUAGAUGCUGUGAGGCCAUACCCAAGGUAAUCAUCUGGAAGAGGUUCAACAGGGUGGAAACUUCGACCAACAGAAAUCAUACACCGAGUAGGAUUCUCCUUCAUUACUAUAUCGAUUGCUUGUAAUAUAUCACGGGGAAUGGAAAAGAGAUUCCCCUUCAAGUACUCGUUCAACUUGCAAAGCUUCAGCUCAUUCACAAGCUUUAAGGUCAAUAUGUAAGUACGAUACUUCAUGUCUUCUCCUUCUAGGAACUUCACAUUAAAUUUACCAGUUGGCAAUUCAAUAGCACUGAAUAUAUUCUUCUCACCAUCAUAAGCGGUCAUCGACAGAGGAAACUGAUCAGGGUAGUCCUCGCACAACUUGUUCCUGACAAUAGCCAAAACAGUCUUGGACAAUUUCACAGGCCGACCAUGAUUGGGGCCUAUGUCAGGUUUAACAUCAAUGUCAUAAUGUCUAAUGAUACUCUCAGGAGAAAAAUUGACUAGAAAAUGGUUGACGAAAAUGUUGACAGUUCGGAUGGCAAGUGUGCCACCUCUAUCUGGGCGUUUAAUUGGAGUAUAUCUGGUUGCAUUUUGUGAAGAUGAAGCCACCGGCUCCGAGAUCUUCAAUUUUUGAAUUUCUGGAACAAUAAAAUCAGCAAUCAAUACAUAAAAUCACUCCUGACAAAUAAUCUAAUUCCAUUUACACUCAUUUUGGUGCAAUUACAUGCUCCUAGUCCUUGAAAACAGUUCCAUUUCCCUUUCUUAAGAAUUAAGAACAAAUUCGAUAGGAACGUCAAUAUUAUCACAAACCACAAGUUAAGAAAUACAUACAAUAUCAUAAUACAUUGUAUUUUAAACACAGAUAAAAGUGACAAUUUUUUUUUUUGUUUAUUUAAAUGAAGAUGUCCAAAAAGAAAAAAAGAAAUCAAUCUGAAAGAAAAAGAACCACUUUUCCACAGAAUUCAAAAGAGAAUGAAUCAUACCGCCAACAGGAGGUCGAACAACCGGUGCAGCAGAAGUGCCGGGCGGAGACUGAGGCCGUGGCUGUGGCGACGGAGCUCUGACGGCAGGAGACAUCGGUCCAGACCACGGUCUCACCGGCGGGGAAGAACUGCCGUGUCCCGGGGACGGAGCCGACCUCCGCCAUUGAGGCUGCUGAGGUCGAGGCUGAUGAUCACGAAAGUCUCCACCGCCGGUUCUUCCGCCUCUGGAACCGCCGUCUCUUCCGCCUCUUCCGCGGCCUCUUCCUCUGUAGCCUUCUCUCUCCAUUGGACUUCAAUUCGGGAACAAAAUCAAUCAAAUCACGAGUUACUACGCCGUCUCAACUCAGCACUAAACACUUCUUACCAAUUACCAAACAAUAAAAAUGAAUAAUUAAGACCAAAGCGCGCAGAAAGUGUAUGUCAGAAUUCUACGAUCUUACAUUUUAUAGUACAGUCUCUACCUGAAUUCACCUAAAUGUCCCUCGCGUGCAAUUCCUUACUUGCUGCUUACGGAUUCUGAAGAGCCUUAAUUGGGUAAACAAACUGUCAUUUCUUUUUCUUUUUUUAAACUGAAAGUUACAAAAAGAAGUAACAAAGAAGCAGCAGCAACGAGUAAGAAGAGAUUGGAUUUGGAAUUGGAAUAUUAGCAAUUCCAGAAGCUUCGAUGAAUCCAUAUAUCCACGGGAACUUUCCAGGAAAACAGUGGAAAUUUUGAGGGGAUUCUCAUACUUCUCUUUGGAAGCUAAGUUCGUGCAUGUCUGAUAUCCCGAUCCUUUCAUUUUAUUUUUUUUAAUUAAUUUAAGUGAUUUUGUAUUUAAAAACAAAUUAAAGGUGUUAUUUAUAUAAUAUAUACUUAUCUUAUAAAUCAAACAACUUCUGAAGAAAGAUUUUAUGAUUGAAAGAACUUGCGGAGAAAGAAAUAAAAUAAAAACAAACGCCUUCUUUUCCGCGGGAUGUUGUUUAAAUUCAGCCCAUCAAAGAAGGGAAUGUUUAGUUUAUAUGGGACGGAAAGCUGACAUCUUUUGACGUCAGCAGACUAAACCCAAAGUAAAUAUUAAAACAUAAACUCUCAACUUUUUAGAGGGUCGGCUGUGUUGGUACUGUUGUAAGCUUUUGUAACAUUUCAUUGAGUCCCAUGUAUCCAAUUUUACUUAUAAUUUAUGAAAAAGUAUUAUGAUACUUUUUGCUUACCUACACAAUCAAAAUUUAAUUUAUUAUCUAUUUUUAUUUAUUUAUUUAUUAAUUUUUGUAAGUAUUAGAAUAUUGUAAAAUUUUAUUAAGUCCUUACACUCUAUUUUAUUUACAGUUCAUUUAUGAGUAUUAAAAUUUAAAAAGACAAAAUUACCCUUAAACUUGUUAAAAAUAAUAAAAUUCUAAAGGUUUCAUAUAUUUUUUUUUCUCGUUUCUCAUUCUCCUCUCUCACUCUCUCACUCUCUCUCUCUCUCUCUCUCUCUGAUGAUGAGUCUAAUGGUGACUUCGAUCAUUGACAGAAGUUGUUGAACGACCUUGAUUGUUUGGUUCUUGUGUUGGCUAUGGAAGGCGGGUGGUGGUAUUUUGGUUUGCAGAGGCUGAAAAUGUUGCUACUGGCAGCGGCUGGCUUAAUUGCUUUGUGGGUGUCUUUCGUAGUGACUGCGGUGGUGGUCAUAGUGGCUAAGGUUUCGAAUUUGGAAAUUUAUGAUUUAUGAUUUUUUUUUUCCAGAAUCAAUGGAUAAUUUUUUAAGCAGAAAAAAUAUAAUAAGAAGUAAAUUAAAAGAACCAUUUCUAUGAGUGCAAAUGAUGUAAAUAAUAAAAAAUGGAAUAAAAAAGUUGUCCAAAUAUAAUAAUAAAUUGAUCUUUCACUCAGUGAACUCUAUAUAACCAAAACGGCAACAAAUAGCCCGAAAGCUAGAGAUCCAAAAACGGCAAAUCUGUUCAAAACAGCAGAGUUCUCAAAUGGAGCAAGAGCAUCAGAUGGAGACAUUGAGAUUGGUGAUGGAAAAUUUGCUGGUGUCGGAGAAGAAUAAAACGGAAGAGGUGACGACGAAGAGCUGAUAGUGACUGGAGAGGGCGCGGCCGCAAGUGGAGCACUCAAGGGAGACGGUGAAGCAGCCAGCCAACGGAGUCUUCAAUGGCAAUGGCACUGCUUCUAGUGGAGUCUUCAUUGGAGACGGCACUCGAGAUUACGCCAUUACUGCAAAGCAAAGCCAUGCAGAUCAAAAUUGCAAAGCUAGAGUCAUCCAUUUUGAUUUAUUGAUUUAAAAUGGCAUCGUAGGUUUUUAAAGUGAAAAUUAACAGAGAGUUGAAGACUUAACUUGGAGUAAUGGUUUUACAAUCAUGGAUAAUUUCUUUUUACGACUUUAGUUCCCUUUAGAUUGCUUUCUAUCUAUCAACAACAUACAAAUGACAUUAUAAUGACCACAACAAUAGUUUAAAGCCUGAAAUUUUUUAUUGUAACCAUCUGAUUCGGAGAAAAGAAAAUGUGUUGGGUCGAUGAUGAAGGAAAAUUACGGCUGUCCAUUUGAAAAAACAAACAAAUUACGUAGUGGCGGAUACCACUUGGGGUGACAAUGGUUCAGUCAGUGAAGAUUAGAUUGAUGGUGUCCUUGACUAUUAGCUUGCCAUUAGUAAAAAACGAUGAUGAAGAGAAAUUGAUAGUGGAGACAGAUGGAUUCAAAUGAAUUUUUUUUUUAUUUUAUUAAUUUUUUUCCAUGAAAGGAUUAAUUAUUAUGAGAUGAUAUUGUAACGAAGAUAAUUGGUCGUAUCCUUGAAAAUUUUGUUGACGAUGAGUGAUAGAAGAAGAGCCAUCGUGAUUCCUCAAUUUUUUGUACUAAUUUAAGGGUAAUUUUAUCUUUUUAUUGAUAUUAGUGUGUUAUGAUGAUCAAUGUUUUGUGGAUGUAAAUAAAAACUCCUCUAAUACUAACAAAAAAUAAUAAAUACAAAAGAGUAGAAGGUGAUAAAUUGAAUUUUGAUAAUAUAAGUAGAAAGUAUAUAAUACUUUUUAAUAAAAUUAUCAACAAAACAGAGUACAACGAGCUCAAUGGAAUUUUACAAUAACUCAGUCACAAAAGACAAAAGUUAUUGUAAGAUACAACAGUCCCUUUUUAAAGUUACAUUUAUUUGAUUUCAUUUUGUCUUUUUAAAUAUUUUAAAUGGAAUCCAUUACUAAUAAUAAAUUUAUAGAACGUUUUUUCCCAAUUGAUAUGAAAUGAUAAAGUUCAAUAGCUAAUUAUUACAUGAUCUAAUAAGAUAAUGUCAUGUGAUAAUGUCUCAUUAAUUACUACGUUAGUAAAAAAUUGUAUUCCAACUUUAUAAAUUUAUCGUUAUUGUUAUUUAAAAAUCUUAUCAUCAUUAUGUUUUUAUCUUUGACUAUAUAAUAUCAACAACAUUAUUCAAUCAAAUAAAGGUAACCUUAAUUCAAAGCCAACUAAGGAUGAGCUAUUUUAGUCAAUCCUUCUAAGCUUGGUGCAAAUGAUAUUUUUUAAGUAGAUAUUAUAUUAUUUUAAUUAAUUUAAAAUCAUAUAUGUGUGCGUGCAAGGGCGCAGCUCAAGCCAAAUCUCUAUGGGGGCCAAAUCUAUACAUUUUGAAAUUCUUAAAGGAUAAAAUUAAAUAACAAAUAAAAGUAUUAAAAAAAAUAAGGCAAUUAUUUAAUGUAAAUAAUUAAUUAAAAGAUUGUAUUUUAAUAUAAAAAGAAAAAAAAUUACAAACCAAAAGAGUCCCCUCCCCUACAAAAUCACUAUCAAAAUCAAGAUCCCCAACAUAAAAAACGAACUCGACGUUCUUUUAUAUCUCGAAACUCAUUGAUUAUUGAUUCAAUGCUUAUUUUUUCAGCAAUUUCCCUUUCAAUGUACAUAAUCAAAGAGUCUGUAAGAAAUUCAUCCUCCAUUUUGUUGUGAAGACUUAUCUUGACUAUAUGCAUAGCUGAAAAUGACCGUUCUGAAGUUGCAGUUGACACUGGAAGAGUUAGCACAAGAACAAUUAUUCUAUAGAUAAGAGGAAAUGUUUUUGCUUUCCUUGUACUGACCAACCAUUGACUAAAGUCACAAAUGGUUGAUAAAUUUUUGAACUCUGCAUGUUGGACUACACCAUACUCAUAAUGCUCAAGUUGAUUUUUCAGAUUUAUUUUCCCAGCAUCUGUAAAGUCUGCUGGAUAAAACCCCUCAACCAACUGACAAAUUUCACCAAUUCUAAAAGACUUUCUACAUUCACGGGGAUCAAGUGCUGAACUAAGAAUAAGCAAAUCUACUGCAUGUUCAUUAAAUUGACUAUUCAAUUCUUGUAAUUGGCAAUCUAUAGCAACAUAAAAAAUAUUUACCCUGUAAUGGUCAAUAACAGUAAAAGUAUCUUCUUGAUGACGGGCUCGACCUUGUCUUGCAACAUAAGGAGCAUCCAUUUCUGGGACAUCUGUAUUUCUUGUUUCACAAAAUACUUUCACUUGAUCAAGUAAAGUAUUCCACCCAUUAUCUCUCAGUUUCUGAAUAAGUGCUUUAGUUGAUGAAACCAGAUGCAUGGCAUGUAAAAUAUCUUGAGACUUAGAUUGCAAAGCUUGGCAAAGUAUAUCAGUAGUUGCCAUAAUUUCUUUCAUCAUAUGCAAAGUAAAAACAAACUCAAAAGUUGUCAUUACCUCAUAUGCAGCAUCAGCAUCUCCCCGUUGAAAAGCAGUUGUCUCGUCUUCAAUGAUAUUAAGUAAAAUUGAACAUGUAGCAUUGAACAUUUUUAUUAAGUUAGAGACUGAUCUAAAGUGAGAAGUCCAACGAGUAUCUCCAGGCCUUAGUAAAGUAUCAAUUUGAUUAAGCCAUCUUCCACUUUCAAGCUCAUCAAUGGAGAUCAUAUACUCAAUAUCAGCAGUCUGAGCAAGCUUGAGUUCAUCAUGACGCUUGUAAGAAGCCCCAACAAUAUUCACAAUAGAAGUCAAUUUAGUAAAGAAAUGAUGAACAUGAACAACCUCAUGAGAUACUGCAACUAAAGCCAACUGUAGUCGAUGAGCUAAACAAUAAAUGUAAUAAGCAUAAGGACAAUCUUUUAAAAUCAAGGCUUGUAAGCCUUUCCAUUCACCUCGCAUGUUGCUUGCACCAUCGUAUCCUUGCCCACGAAUAUUUUGAAUAUUCAAAUUUUGAUGAGACAAUAUAGAGUGUAUUCCAUCUUUCAAGGUUGUUGCAGAAGUGUUUAAGACAUGAACAAGACCAAAAAAAGGUUAUUGAAGAAAACCAUUAUUGUCAACAAAUCUUAAAACUAUUGCCAUUUGUUCUUUUUUUGACUCAUCACGUGAUUCAUCCACAAUUAAGCAAAACUUGGCAUCUCUUAUUUCUUCACGAAUUGUCUUUUUCACUCUCAUUGAAAAGACAUGUAAAAUUUCCUUUUGGAUAUCCGGUGAUGUAUAUGAGGCAAACUUUGGUGCUUUAUCUAGUAUCACUUCUGCUACAUUUUCAUUGUUGGAACCAAAUGCUUUGAGUAAUUAAAUAAAAUUUUCACGGUUUGAUGACUUUUCACUUUCAUCAUGACCUCUAAAAGCAAAACCUUGAAAAGCAAGAUAUCUAAUCACUUCAAUUGUAGUUUUUAAUCGCAGUCUAUUGUUUACAAUUUCUUGGGAAGAGUAUCGAUUAAGUACAUGCACUAGAUGCUGAGAUUGUCUCAUCAAAUCCUCACAUGAUCUUUCAGCUUUUUUAUGAGUUGAGUUAGGAUCCUUUCCCACAUGAUUAAGGAAUGCACAAUUUUUUCCAUCUCUAACCUUCUUCCAAGAAUUAAAUCCUUCAACAGUGAAAGCAGUAUGCUUAGGCUGUGCAAAUGGUGCAUUAAAUAGAUAACAUGGUAGACAAAAGGCUGCAUCUUUUGUAGGUGAAUACUCUAACCAAGAAGGAAAAGAAUCAAACCAUGGAGAUUGAAAUCGACGAGGAUGCUUUUCUGAUCCAGAUUUUGGAUACUCUGGAAGUCUUGGUUAGUAUGGACCCGACAUAAUAUAUGCUCUUCGAAUUUCAUCUCGUUGAUUGACAUCAUAAUCCUAAAUCUGGCGGCACAAUCCUGGAUCACGCUCUACAAGCUGAGUAUCAACUUUACUUGUCUCAAUUCUUGGGGAUUUUGAAAGUUGGUUUUCAGAAUUUGGAGAAUUGACAUGUGAAAUUGGUGAAUUUUCAGAAACUGGUGGAUUAGAACUUUCUUCUAAUGUCUUCCUUUUGAAAUAUUGAUCAAUUUUAGAUGAUUUUCCCAUCUAUAUCCUCCAUACCCCUGGAAUUCAAUCAACAAGGAAAUUGUGAAAUGCAAGUUACUAAUCAAGAGAAGCGAAUUGGACAGAAUAAUUGACAAUCUAAAGCAAUAGAUAUUUGAACCAUAAAAAAAUCAAGCAGGAAAUAAAUUGAACAUAUCGUAUACUGAACUGAAAUUGAGUAAAAUCUGGAGUGCUUUCUAUAAAGAGAUUGUCCAAAUGAUUUCUGACCUGAAUAUCAAUGACAUGGUCAAACUCAUUAGUCAUUACUUGUGAACCAAACCAAAUGUCAAUAAGCUAAGUUAUAGAAUAAGUGUCAAGCAUCAGUGCCAGGCAAAAUUCAAAUAUAAUCAUUGAUGCUUAGAUCUUUGAGCCAUUGAUCAUAGCACACGUUUCUAAAAAAGCAAAAAGAAAGAAAUUAAUGCAACAGAGAUUGAUUAAACUCCAAGAAACUAGACAAGCUUGAUUUUAAUUCAAUAGAAAAAAAUCUCCAAUUGUUGAAAGCAAUACAUAAAUUACAAAUUAAAAGAUGUUAGAUAAUGAUUAAAUUUCAGGAAUAUCGUCAAGCAACUCGGCAACAACAUUCGCCCUAAUUGACAAUUUUAGUAUUUCAUUCAACUGCCUAUCAGGACCGUAGACAAGACAACUACCGACUACCGUAACAUCUAUCUCCUUUAUUAGUUCUUUCCAUCCUUAAUAAAUUUUAAGAGAAUGUGUUGGACUCACCUAAAUUCCAAGUGAAGUGCGAUUUGUGACGAGUUUUUGCCGCAACAAUUUGUUCUUGCCACAACAGUUGGCUAACCAAUUAGUAAACGUUGAUGAUCAAAUUGAUUAAUCGUAAAAAGAACGCUAUCUCUAUUGGGCUUUUCUUGUAAGUUGUAAGGCUUUUUAUUUAUUAUAAAAUUAUCUUAUGUUAGUAAUAGUAUGUGCAAAAUAUUUCUACCGGAGCCAACAUUUUAUGUUUAUUUAAUAUAUUUUUUUACUUUUAUUUAAAACUUUUAAAAAAAAAAUUAUUGGUGGGGGGCCAUGGGCCCCCAUUGCCCUUAGCACCCUCCGCCCCUGUGUGUGUGUCACAUUUGGAAACUGUGAGAAAAAACUUACAUUGGUCGGGUAUACCUUCUCAACAUACUAAAUCAAUGCAUCUGACUAGUAAUAACUCGUUAUUUAGACCAAUCAAAUGGUUUAUAAUAGAUGUUGAAGUGAUGCACCUAAUCUAUAUAAACUCUUAUGGAGAACUAUGAAUAUUACACACAUUUGAUACUAAUGCAGGCAAUUGUCAAUUGGUUUAUGUUAUUCAGUCUUGUUAUCUACAAGACUACAACAUUGGUUUUCUUUAUUUCAUUCAUUAAAAACAGUAAUUCCAUAAUACAUGGAAUAUAUGAGAAAGAUUCAUUAUCCUAGUACUGUAGGUAGCACCAUGUAUGCCAUGGUGUGUUCUAGACCUGAUAUAGCAUAUUGAGUUUGAGUUGUUAGCAGAUUAAUGAGGAAUCCAGGUAAGGAGGAUCAGCAUGGUGUUAAGUGGAUUUUAAGAUAUCUUAGAGGAGUUGUAGGGCAUGGUAUUUUAUAUGGAAGGGUCAAUGAAGCUACAACUCAAGUUUUUGGGUUUGUGGACUCAGACUUUGCAAGAAACCUUGAUAAAAGGAGAUCAAUUAUAGGCUUUGUGUCAGCUUUUUGUGGAGUUGAAGUGAGCCGAAAAGCUUCAUUACAGUCAGCAGUAACUCUCUCAGCAACUGAAGCAAAGUAUAUUGCUCUUACAAAAGCUGCUAAAAAAGCAAUAUAGCUUAAAGGCUUAGUGUAUGAACUGGGGCUUAAUCAAAAAUCAAUUUCAAUUAGCUACGAUAGCUCAAGUGCUAAACAGUUGAGUAAAAAUCCCAAAUACCAUGAGAGAACUAAGUAUAUUGAUGUGAGGAUGCACUUUAUAAGGGUGAAAUUGAUCAUGGAGUGAUAAAUGUUGUCAAUAUUUCAUCUGAAGAUAAUCCAGCAGAAAUUAACAAAAACAGUGCCAACAGUCAAGUUAAAAAACUCAUUGGACUUAGUUGGGGUUGUUAACUUGUAAGUCAAGUUAACAGAUGCUGAAGCAGUGAUGGGUGGAGUAGCAGUAGAAUUAAAUUAAGGGGGAGAUUUGUGAAGUAGUUAGUUAAAUUCUAUUACUCAAUGAUGAGGUAGCAAGCAGAGUCAGUGCGUGUGUGGGGACCAGCUGGUGGUUAAAGCUGUUACAGCUAACAAUUGUAUUCUAGUAUUGGACAUAAGCCUAAGGCGACCUGAUUAGAAGAUCAUUUUGGAUUAAAUUUUUCAUGCCUUAGAGAGUGAGAUAGAAAAUACUAUGUAGAAGAGAUUUAGUUAUGAUAUUUUAAAGUUUCAUUAUAAUCAAUAUGAACAAUAAAAGCUUCAAGCGUUGCUGGGUUCUUCAGUCAAGGAUAUAAGUACCUUGGUACCAAACAUUAUUUUACUGGGUGUUGAUUCUCUGGUUUCCUUCCUAUUACUUGUUCUUUAGAUUGUUUCUGAUUGACUCUUGAAUGUUCUUGAUCAAUUAAGUUAAUUGAGGUUUCUGGUUAAAUAAUUAAGUACUCUGAUUUCAUUACAAAAUCCAAAAUGGGUCCUUUCAUUUGAUUUUGGUUUCUCCUAACAAUCUGGCUUUGACCCUGACAUUUUCACUUCCUCUUUUGGUGUUAUUUAUUUAAUUAAAUCUCAUUUUUAACAAAAUCACAAUUUCUCACCUCUUUCUUGUGAUUUUAUUUCCUUUCUUUUUCUCCCUCUAAUUUAUUAUUAUUUUUUUGUCUGAACCACGAGAUGGUCCUGAGUAGGCCCCAACUGUGGAAGGCACCUUUAAGCCCAUACCACAACCCAUACUAAUCUCCGUUCGCACUAGGUCGGCCCGUAAGGGGUAAAGUGCUGGCCAAAGUAGUGACUCCAUAUGAGAGCGGGGCUUGAACCCAUAACCUCUCUUAAGGAGUGAGAGUGCCGAACCACUCACACCAACCAACCCAUACCACAACUCAGACUAAUCUCCGCUCGCACCGGGUCGGCCCGUAAGGGGUAAAGUACUGGCCAAAGUAGUGACUCCAUACGAGAGCGGGGCUUGAACUCCUGACCUCUCUUAACGAGUGAGAGUGCCGAACCACUCACACCAACCAACUUUAGUAUUUAUUUUUAUAAAAUAUAUUAAUGUGGACAAGUAGUUUUCAUUUAUUAUUUGUUUAAUAUGUAUUUCGUUAUUUACAUUAGCUUUAACUUUUCUUGGUUGUCAUGAUUAUGUAAGGUUGGCUGGUUUGGUCUUGUUUAGACUGAAUCUUGCAUUAUUUAUUGGAUUUUCAGCAAGUGAUUAAAUUUCUGGGUAUGUGCAAGCUUUUCUUCUGACUGAAUCGGAUCGUUUGAGCACAGAGUUGUUAUGGAAAAGCUGUAAACUAUGUUUGGGUUGGAAAUAUUUGAAUGGAUUUGUUAUUUAAUUGUAAAAGUUAAAGAUUGUUUGGCUCUCGCUCAAAAAUGGGUUCUUUGACAUGCAAACGUCUUGUUUUGGUUGUUGUUGCUCUGUUUAUGAGAACUGCAUGGCUGCCUUCCUUCUUUGGAUUUGUUGGGAUUGAACCGAGGAGCGUUGAAUUUAUCCAAACUCGAUAUUUGUCUGCGGAUUCUGAUUCUGGAAAUCGUAAAGAUAAGUUCUUGGAGGUUCCUCAAAUUGUAUGGGGACUAAAUGAUCAAAAGAUAGCAUUUGCAAGGGCAUGUUUGACCGCUAGAUUGCUAAACCGUACUCGCACGAUUCAUUGUACAGCAAGUAUGAAAACGUGGUAUGUUUCUUUCUAUCAUUUGACUUUCGUCAUGCCACCAUUGCUGGAAUCAUCGCGCUAUGACAGAGCUCUCGAGGAGCGAACACUCGCUUCUCUUUCAUUAGAGAGACUCACAAAAACUUCAGGUAUAUAUGAUAACACUUGAUCAUCUUCAUGAGUUUUGCUUUUGCUUCCAAUAAACCCAAAGAGUUAAUUGUAUUUCUUCUCUGCAGUCUCGGCAUGGGAUAAAGAGGUAAUUGGACCUCUUCAGAAUCAUGGUGAUGAGCUUAUUUCGGUCUUCACAGGAAAUUUGAAGCUUCAGUAAUUUCAAAAAUCUUCUAGCUUUCUCCUCCUUGUUAGUGCGCAUGGAUUACGCAUAUGUGUAUCAUAUAGUUCACUCUCCAAAGUUUUGUUAAUCUGUGUUUAGUUUCUGUAAAGCCUAAUCUCUAGUAGAAAAUAUCAUUUAUAUGUUACCAAGAUUUAAGAAUGUAUUUGGUUUGAUAUAUAAAAUUAUGUGCUCGUAGUUGCUCUUUUUUUUUUUUUUUUUGACAAAUAAGUACAAAUUUCAUUUCAUCUUAAAAGUUCAGAUUAGUAGAAAUUCAUUACCGAUUAGUUCAAUAUGUGUAUAAUUACAUAUAUUACAAUAAACAAAUUAACUGAGCUAUUGAAUGCUUAUCAGUAAAGCAUAUCUCCACUAAAGAUGCACACAAUAUAUUAUAGUAUAAUCAGGAAUAUUCCUAAACUUUUUUAAGAAUUUCCGCUUUUAUUAACAAGAUGAAAAUGAGUAGGAAAAACAAAGAUGGCAUAUAAAUCCAAAAAUUCUUAGGUUGAUUUGUUGGCGUUGUAUGUAUUUUAUUUUUGGAUCUAAUGUGCCAUCUUCUGCGGUCGCUCUAAACUCCCAUUCCUCGGCCAAUGACCAAAAACCAAUUGGCAUAUUGGUUCAGUAUACCACCUAUAAUUUGUAACAGAAUUAAGAAUUUGAUUAUUAACAUCUCUUUGGCCAAAUAGCUAAUUUUAUUGUUUUUGAUCAAUUAUCAAGCAUUACUUUUGGGGUAGAAUCCCAUGAGCCUCCAUUUUUUUAAGCAAAAUAAAAUAAUAAAAUCUGCAUUGUGAGUGUUGAAACGAAGUAUGCUUCUGAAAAAAAAUGAAGAGAUAAUUACCUAUAAUUUGUAACAGAGAUUAGCUUGAUUUUAGUCACGAACAGUAUAUAUACGCUAUUUGCAAAUUCAGGUAUCAAUGAAAUUUUUAGGCAAACUGCGUCGUUGCUAAACCGUGUCCUUUUAUGGCUAUCUAAAGCUGCAACGUAAAAUGGAAAAUCAGUCUGCAGAUAUACCAAUGAUCAGAAGGAAACAGAAUCCUAAGAUAGAGAGCCAAACACCCGGCAUGUAAUGUCAUUUAAACCACAAUAACAUAACAUCCUUUAAACCGCAGAGUUUAAUUUCAAACACAGACACACGAGCACAGGAAAGACAUCACAAACAUCAAAUACCAAGUCCAAUCGCUUCAUCCAUGAGUUGGUACAAACUUCAAAAGAGUAAGCAUGUUCAAUUGACAAAAGACUUGAAACUCAUUAGAUUCACGCACAAACUCCUUUAUUAGGUGCUUAAGAAAGGAGUAAACCUGUAUUGCAGCAAGAAGAGAGAGCCACGUUGCCUGCUUAAGCAAAAUGGACACUGUCAAGAGACUCUGAGCACUUCAGUAGAACAGUGACCUAUGGCUAUCUCUAACCCUACUGUACAGAGGGGGAAGAGAUGGAACAUGUUUUGGCCCUUCAAACAAAAUACAUAAUGUUUUCCAGGUCCGUGUGCAACUUGUAGAACCUCUCAUCAAAUGAAGCGUCCGAUGACAGCGAUGUCGAAGUCAAAGAUGAAGAUGAUGAUGAAACUGAAGCUGGAGAUUGUCCCUCCAUUACUGCCUCAUGGUACAAGCGCCCUCUGUACACAACAAGGUCAGCAUAGUACACAGGCGGUACCAAUGACACAGGCUUAGUACACCGAGCAAAGGUGAAGCACAUGUUAUAUAUAAGCUUCUGCAACUGAUCAGAAGUAAACCCGUGCUCAUCCCAUAAGACAUGGUAGUGAGUGGGCUUGCUUGUUCCAAGGCUUCCGUAGUGGCUACAAAGGUAAAAAUCAAACUCAAAAGGGUGCACAAUAUUUGUGUCCACAACUGUCCCUGGUGGCACAUUGCCACUGGAGGUUCCAUCCAUCCUACCCUUUGGAAAUAGACGAGUUUGAUGUCGCUUCUGGGCCACAAUAAGUGUGAUUCUUGGGUGGUAAUCCAUUGAUCUGAAUGCCAUCUUUAGUGGUACCAACUCUUCAUUGAGAACCAUAUCGAACUGGCC